UGGUGAGUUGGCAGAAUAGUGCCACCGACUUAGAAUCGGUUCAUGGGUAAUACCCACUCACUAGAUAUC
Molecule: transfer RNA, 69 nt
Filed under: Eiseniona albolineata
Lineage: Eukaryota; Metazoa; Annelida; Clitellata; Crassiclitellata; Lumbricidae
Description: tRNA-Leu
Source: RNAcentral